This 701-nucleotide long non-coding RNA is filed under the name Mustela putorius furo (domestic ferret). RNAcentral describes it as "lncRNA (ENSMPUG00000030211.1)". Lineage: Eukaryota; Metazoa; Chordata; Mammalia; Carnivora; Mustelidae. The record is from RNAcentral.
GUUUUUCCCUCUACAUCUGAAUCUUUCCUUCAGUAAAUUUCCAUUAGCCCCGGGGAGUCUCUGACUUUAUGAUUCCAAAAUUAUUUUAGACCACAUAAAACUAGGAAGAGAAAGAGGUAGUGGAAACUUUCCCUGAAGUUGCCAUCUCUGUGUUUGGGUACCUCCUCUACCUAGAGCAUUGGAAACACACUGUUUGUUGGGAGAGAGUCUUUGGCGUCUGUGGGAAGUUUCAUUCUGCUGCUGAUCCAUUGCUUGGCCCACGUCGUCGCCGAGGACUUCCGCCAGGACACAAACCCUGCCUUUCUGAGGUCAUUUUACAAGGGCCUGCGGGCUUAUUUCGGGGAAGCAUUCUCUACCGCUCUGCGAAUGUCCGCUGUCUCCUGGGACAGUAAGCUUGACCAAAGCAUGAGCGCUGCUCUGUUAGAUGAGCAGCCCAUCUCUGAAGGAGGAAGAGAUCUGCUCUCUACGCUCCUUGAAAGGAAGUGUGAGUCUCACUUGGAGCCAGAGUCAUCAGAAGAGUAUAUUAAGAGAAACAUGGAUCUUCUCCUCUUCACCAAUAUGGAACAUUUUCUAAAAUCCCUCCUCACUGCAGAACAACCGAUCCCAAGAAAACCAAGAGAACAGUGUGGAGACGAAGAGAAGGUGAGAUGCUUUUAUGAUCUAGGGCAUGAAGACUGUGCUGUGCUAUACACCUUGAAACA